This is a non-coding RNA of Podarcis lilfordi (Lilford's wall lizard), 89 nucleotides long. Lineage: Eukaryota; Metazoa; Chordata; Lepidosauria; Squamata; Lacertidae. The record is from the annotation of a GenBank genome assembly.
ACUGUAUAUAUAUAUAUACACACACACACACACACACACACACACACACACUGUCUCUGUGUGUGUGUGUAUAUAUAUAUAUUCUGUUU